RNAcentral lists this ribosomal RNA (253 nucleotides) under uncultured bacterium. RNAcentral's name for it is "partial 16S ribosomal RNA". It matches the Rfam family "Bacterial small subunit ribosomal RNA", at positions 524 to 776 of the family's 1533-position model. The record is from RNAcentral.
UACGUAGGGGGCUAGCGUUGUCCGGAAUCAUUGGGCGUAAAGAGCGUGUAGGCGGCCCGGUAAGUCCGCUGUAAAAGUCAAAGGCUCAACCUUUGAAUGUCAGUGGAUACUGCCGGGCUAGAGUCCGGAAGAGGCGAGUGGAACUCCUGGUGUAGCGGUGGAAUGCGCAGAUAUCAGGAGGAACACCGAUGGCGAAGGCAGGCCUCUGGGCCAUAACUGACGCUGAGAAGCGAAAGCAUGGGGAGCGAACAGG